This 464-nucleotide ribosomal RNA is filed under the name uncultured bacterium. RNAcentral describes it as "bacterial SSU rRNA". It matches the Rfam family "Bacterial small subunit ribosomal RNA", at positions 330 to 794 of the family's 1533-position model. The record is from RNAcentral.
CCCAGACUCCUACGGGAGGCAGCAGUGGGGAAUAUUGCACAAUGGGGGGAACCCUGAUGCAGCGACGCCGCGUGGGUGAAGGAGCACCUCGGUGCGUAAAGCCCUCUCGGCAGGGAAGAAAAGCGAACAGGUUCGCCUGGACGGUACCUGACUAAGAAGCCCCGGCUAACUACGUGCCAGCAGCCGCGGUAAUACGUAGGGGGCAAGCGUUAUCCGGAUUCACUGGGUGUAAAGGGAGCGUAGACGGCCAUGCAAGCCAGGGGUGAAAGCCCGGGGCCCAACCCCGGGACUGCCCUUGGAACUGCAUGGCUGGAGUGCGGGAGGGGCAGGCGGAAUUCCUGGUGUAGCGGUGAAAUGCGUAGAUAUCAGGAGGAACACCGGUGGCGAAGGCGGCCUGCUGGACUGCAACUGACGUUGAGGCCCGAAAGCGUGGGGAGCAAACAGGAUUAGAUACCCUAGUACAU